GACGAACGCUGGCGGCGUGCCUAAUACAUGCAAGUCGAACGCAGUGGGGACGGGGGAGUAACACGUGGGUAACCUCCCAACAGAGGGGAUAACACUUGGAAACAGGUGCUAAACCGAUACUGAUGGAUGGACCCGGGGGGCAUUAGCUAGUGGGGGAGGUAACGGCUCCCAAAGGCCACGAGGCAUAGCCGACCGGAGGGGGGACUCGGCCACACGGGAACUGGGACACGGCCCAGACUCCAACGGGGGGCAGAAGUAGGAAAUCUUCGGAAAUGGACGAAAGUCUGACCGGGAAACGCCGCGUGAGUGAAGAAGGUUUUCGGAUCUAAAAACUCUGUUGUUAGAGAAGCGGUAUCUACCAGAAAGCCACGGCUAACUACGUGCCAGCAGCCGCGGUAAUUC
This 402-nucleotide ribosomal RNA is filed under the name uncultured bacterium. RNAcentral describes it as "partial 16S ribosomal RNA". It matches the Rfam family "Bacterial small subunit ribosomal RNA", at positions 28 to 526 of the family's 1533-position model. The record is from RNAcentral.